CAGUCGCCGCGGUAAUACGUAGGGUGCGAGCAUUAAUCGGAAUUACUGGGCGUAGAGCGUGCGCAGGCGGUUGUGUAAGACAGGUGUGAAAUCCCCGGGCUUAACCUGGGAACUGCUCUUGUGACUGCACAGCUAGAGUAUGGCAGAGGGGGGUGGAAUUCCACGUGUAGCAGUGAAAUGCGUAAAGAUGUGGAGGAACACCGAUGGCGAAGGCAGCCCCCUGGGCCAAUACUGACGCUCAUGCACGAAAGCGUGGGGAGCAAACAGGAUUAGAUACCCGCGUAGUCCCUGUCUCUUAUAC
This 301-nucleotide ribosomal RNA is filed under the name uncultured bacterium. Its description in RNAcentral is "partial 16S ribosomal RNA". It matches the Rfam family "Bacterial small subunit ribosomal RNA", at positions 509 to 807 of the family's 1533-position model. The record is from RNAcentral.